AUGGCUGAUAUUGAGAGGGACAAUCAACACACAGAUAUACUGCAGGUGCAAAUCAAACAGGAGGACGGAGAAGAGCCUCACGAUACAGAGGACCGUCUCAAGAGUUCUAAUACCGGAGAACAGAAGCCUUGUCACAUCUGCCCUGAUUGUGGUAAAAGUUAUACCCGUUCGGAUAAUCUUAAAACACACCAGAAAAUUCAUAUGACAGAGAGGCCGUACCUCUGCUCUGAGUGUGGUAAAGGUUUUACCCGCACAGAUCAUCUGAAAUCACACCUGAAAACACAUGAAAGAAAGAAGAAGAAACUUAAACACCCCUGUACUGAUUGUGUGAAAGGCUUUGUCCAUUUGGAGCAGCUUGAAAAACAUCUGGAAAAAAAUCACCUUACACACAAGGAAAAGAAACCUCACGGCUGUCCAAGGUGUGAUGAGAGCUUUUCUGACCUGGAAGAACUAACAACACACUUGCCAGUACAUACUGAAGAGCUGGCCCUCUACUGCUCUGACUGCGGUAAGCGGUUCUUACACAAAGGAAAAUUUGAAAGACACCAGAGAGUACACAGUGGACAAAUGCCAUACAUAUGCACCCACUGUGGGGAGGGUUUUACACAGGCACAUAGUUUGAAACAUCACCAGCGAAUACACACUGGAGAGAAACCCUACCUCUGCAACGAGUGUGGGGAGAGUUUCAGACACGAUGCAACGUACAGGAGACACAAGCGCAAACACGAGCUACCACUCUCUGAAAAGAAAGCCUAUCCUUGCUCAGUAUGUGGGAAGACUUUUACCCGCUCCGAUGGAGUGAUGAGGCAUCUGAGGAGGUUCCAUUACGGAGAGAGAGCUCUCCAAUGCUCCUGCUGCGACAAGCGUUUCUUUCAACAGGACACACUAACCACACACAUGAGAAUUCACACUGGAGAGAAACCGUACAGUUGCUCUGACUGUGGGAGAAGCUUCUCACAAGAUGGCGACCGAAAGAAACACCAGAAGAGGCACCACACUGGAGAGGGCACUUCACCUCUGACCCUCCAUGUGGACGGCACAGGGACGCACACACACACACUAUAACAGAGACAUACACACUAACAGACAGUAACAGGCAGACUCAAGACACAAAAUCAGGCCAGUGGGUAAACCAGGUUGCAAUGAAGUUGGAUUUAUUUUUUGUGUUUGCGUAUGGUAACAUGUAUUUCUCUCUCGUUUAAGUUAAUUGGCAAGGCUAAUUUUAGCCCAACUUCUCACUGUUUGUAAGAUGCUUACUGCUCAUUGCAGCUACUUAAGUGAUCAUCCCCCCACUCCAUUACUGUUACCCCUCUAUUCAUCCCCCACUCCAUUACUCCUCUAUUCAUCCCCCUACUCCGUUACUCCUCUAUUCAUCCCCCUACUCCGUUACUCCUUUAUUCAUCCCCCCACUCCGUUACUCCUCUAUUCAUCCCCCUACUCCGUUACCCCUCUAUUCAUCCCCCUACUCCGUUACUCCUCUAUUCAUCCCCCCACUCCGUUACCCCUCUAUUCAUCCCCCCUACUCCGUUACCCCUCUAUUCACCCCCCUACUCCGUUACUCCUCUAUUCAUCCCCCUACUCCGUUACUCCUCUAUUCAUCCCCCCACUCCGUUACUCCUCUAUUCAUCCCCCUACUCUGUUACCCCUCUAUUCAUCCCCCCACUCCGUUACUCUGUUACCCCUAUUCAUCCCCCACUCCAUUACUGUUACCCCUCUAUUCAUCCCCCACUCCAUUACUGUUACCCCUCUAUUCAUCCCCCCAUUCCUUUACUCUGUUACCCCUAUUCAUCCCCCCACUCCGUUACUUGGUUAUCUCUCUAUUCAUCCCCCCACUCCGUUACUCCUCUAUUCAUCCCCCUACUCCGUUACUCGGUUACUCCUCUAUUUAUCCCCCCUCUCCGUUACUCCUCUAUUCAUCCCCCCACUCCGUUACUCCUCUAUUCAUCCCCCUACUCCGUUACUCCUCUAUUUAUCCCCCCUCUCCGUUACUCCUCUAUUCAUCCCCCUACUCCGUUACUCGGUUACUCCUCUAUUUAUCCCCCCUUUCCGUUACUCCUCUAUUCAUCCCCCUACUCCGUUACCCCUCUAUUCAUCCCCCCACUCCGUUACUCCUCUAUUCAUCCCCCUACUCCGUUACUCCUCUAUUCAUCCCCCUACUCCGUUACCCCUCUAUUCAUCCCCCUACUCCGUUACCCCUCUAUUCAUCCCCCUACUCCGUUACCCCUCUAUUCAUCCCCCUACUCCGUUACCCCUCUAUUCAUCCCCCUACUCCGUUACCCCUCUAUUCAUCCCUCCACUCCGUUACUCCUCUAUUCAUCCCCCUACUCCGUUACCCCUCUAUUCGUCCACCUCUCUGCCACCUUUCUAUUCACCCUUUCUUCAUUGGUCUCCCCAUUCUCCUUCUCUCUACCCAAAUUAAUCCACAAAAACAUAUUGUUUUUGUGGAUUAAUUUCUAUAUCGAUAAGCUCCUCCCCUUUCCCAGCACCUCCCCCUGUCAGCCCCGCGUUAAACAGAUUACAGAGGAUUCUCUGCUAUUAACACGCUGUUGGGACUGUGGCCUAGCAGUGUAUUGUGGUGUCCAGCUUAGCCACACACACCAAACAGGUGAUACAGUAUGAGAGAGAGAACUACCUCACCACUGAUCUGGGUAGAGGGAAACAGGCAGCGAUGUGAUCGGACAAAGGCGCAGCAGCAAAUCCUUCUUCUAUAGCCUCCAUCUUCUCAUCUUCUAACCUUAGCCUAUCUACACUACUCUCUACCUCAACCCAGCCCGCUGUCCCAGCCCUCUGUCCCAGCUGUGCCUCAACCUAGCCCUCUGUCCCUGCCCCAACCCAGCCCUCUGUCCCAGCCCUGCCUCGUCCCAGCCCUGCCUCGUCCCAGCCCUGCCUCAACCCAGCCGUGCCUCAACCCAGCCCUCUGUCCCAGCCCUGCCUCAACCCAGCCGUGCCUCAACCCAGCCCUCUGUCCCAGCCCCGCCUCAACCCAGCCCUCUGUCCCAGCCCCGCCUCAACCCAGCCCUCUGUCCCAGCCCUGCCUCAACCCAGCCCUCUGUCCCAGCCCUGCCUCAACACAACCCUUUGACCCAGCCUCUAUUCUACUUCAGCCCUCCUCCGGUACUCCCUGGAUCCUGAGUGAGCCUACACUCCCCCCUGCCCCUCAUGGCAGGUAUCAUGGACCCUGAGGAUACAAUUGUAACAGAACCCAAGGUUGAGGAUAUCUAACCUGAGGAUAGAAUCGAAACAGAACUGGAGGAUAGAAUUCUAAUGGAACCUGAGGAUAGAAUCGGAACAGAACUGGAGGAUAGAAUUCUAAUGGAACCUGAGGAUAGAAUCGGAACAGAACUGGAGGAUAGAAUUCUAAUGGAACCUGAGGAUAGAAUCGAAACAGAACUGGAGGAUAGAAUUCUAAUGGAACCUGAGGAUAGAAUCGAAACAGAACUGGAGGAUAGAAUUCUAAUGGAACCUGAGGAUAGAAUCGGAACAGAACUGGAGGAUAGAAUUCUAAUGGAACCUGAGGAUAGAAUCGAAACAGAACUGGAGGAUAGAAUUCUAAUGGAACCUGAGGAUAGAAUCGGAACAGAACUGGAGGAUAGAAUUCUAAUGGAACCUGAGGAUAGAAUCGAAACAGAACUGGAGGAUAGAAUUCUAAUGGAACCUGAGGAUAGAAUCGAAACAGAACUGGAGGAUAGAAUUCUAAUGGAACCUGAGGAUAGAAUCGAAACAGAACUGGAGGAUAGAAUUCUAAUGGAACCUGAGGAUAGAAUCGGAACAGAACUGGAGGAUAGAAUUCUAAUGGAACCUGAGGAUAGAAUCGGAACAGAACUGGAGGAUAGAAUUCUAAUGGAACCUGAGGAUAGAAUCGGGACAGAACUGGAGGAUAGAAUUCUAAUGGAACCUGAGGAUAGAAUCGGGACAGAACUGGAGGAUAGAAUUCUAAUGGAACCUGAGGAUAGAAUCGGGACAGAACUGGAGGAUAGAAUUCUAAUGGAACCUGAGGAUAGAAUCGGGACAGAACUGGAGGAUAGAAUUCUAAUGGAACCUGAGGAUAGAAUCGAAACAGAACUGGAGGAUAGUGUUAAUUUAUCCAGAAGGUUCUGAUGCUGAGGAGCCAGAUGGGAUUCUCUUUGAGCCAGAGGACAACAAGAGGGAGAUGAGGAGGAUGAUAACAUCUAUGCCACAUGGAUGGGCCGCUACAAGAAAGCAGCAGAACAGGAGGACAAGGAUAAAGAGGUGGAGAAAAGAGAGACAGUGAUAGAGGAGAGGAAGAACAGCUUCGAACGACAAGCUCCACCACGGGCAGACCGUCGGCAAUCACUACCCUGUCCAGCUCAACUCUCAACGAUGAUACAGUUGUCUCGUCUCCAUACACUACUAGGGCCACGUCUCCUGCCAGGCCAAACUCCCUGCAAUGCAUCUCAUCCAUGAAUGAUCCUGGCUGCCCGAUACCAGCCAAUACUGAGCGACGAUCCUCCAUGAUUCCAACCUCCAUUCCAGAUUAAAAUGCAAACGCGGUUCCGCAGGCGGAACGUCAUGUCUCCGGUACGCUGGCGGUGUGUGUGAUGGCCAGAGCGACACUGAUUGUGUGGGUCUCAUCUGCCAUGAUGACCUGCACAGAGGAGGGAGUGUUUCUCUCUCAAACACUCUUUCUCUCCCUGAAGUGUAUAUAGGAGUGGCUGUGGAGGAAGCAGGCGUGUUGUGUGCAGGUGGCGCUCUUGCCAGAACCACUCUACUGGAGCUCCACUCGAGUCAAAGUACCCUGAGAACCACGUAGAACAGCCUAGAACUGGACAGAAACACCUAGAACUGGACCCAACCUCUCACAACUGCAUAUAGUUGGAAAGAACUGCCUAGACAGAACUACACCGAACCUGGAAGAACUACCCAGAACCGGUGAAGAACUGCAGAAAAACACUCAGAACUGCCUAGCGUUGUAAUGAACCUUGCAGAACUGCUUAGAUACGGACAUCACUUAUUUUUAUUUAUUUUAUUUUACCUUUAUUUAACUAGGUAAGUCCGUUAAGAACAAAUUCUUAUUUUCAAUGACGGCCUAGGAACAGUGGGUUAACUACCUGUUCUGAAUCUAGAGUGCUGUGCUGAGAGAGACCUCUGUAUUCCCCCAAAUCCCAAUAAUCCAGUAUCUUUUAAAAUAGUUUGUGUGAUAGUGUAUGAGUGAAAUGUAUGGAUGUUUUUCCAAAGGUUUUACUUAUAAGAAUCGAUUCAAUGUGUUUAUUUCAAGAUGUUGUUUGUUUAGUCAAAUAAGGGCAUUUACAUGUUUACAUUGUAUCCCAUCUACGUCUUUGUUUUCCCCUAGUCAUUGAAUAAAAUACUUGGUUGUUCUAAUGGUCAAA
This is an RNA transcript of Oncorhynchus keta (chum salmon), 5348 nucleotides long. It is a transcript of the gene named SFT2 domain containing 2b, with no coding region annotated. The record is from RefSeq and is a predicted model, not a curated record. Lineage: Eukaryota; Metazoa; Chordata; Actinopteri; Salmoniformes; Salmonidae. The transcript has 3 exons.